AGUGGGGAAUAUUGCACAAUGGGCGAAAGCCUGAUGCAGCGACGCCGCGUGAGGGAUGACGGCCUUCGGGUUGUAAACCUCUUUCAGCAGGGACGAAGCGCAAGUGACGGUACCUGCAGAAGAAGCACCGGCUAACUACGUGCCAGCAGCCGCGGUAAUACGUAGGGUGCAAGCGUUGUCCGGAAUUACUGGGCGUAAAGAGUUCGUAGGCGGUUUGUCGCGUCGUUUGUGAAAACCAGCAGCUCAACUGCUGGCUUGCAGGCGAUACGGGCAGACUUGAGUACUGCAGGGGAGACUGGAAUUCCUGGUGUAGCGGUGAAAUGCGCAGAUAUCAGGAGGAACACCGGUGGCGAAGGCGGGUCUCUGGGCAGUAACUGACGCUGAGGAACGAAAGCGUGGGUAGCGAACAGGAUUAGAUACCCUGGUAGUCCACGCCGUAAACGGUGGGCGCUAGGUGUGGGUUCCUUCCACGGAAUCCGUGCCGUAGCUAACGCAUUAAGCGCCCCGCCU
Molecule: ribosomal RNA, 510 nt
Filed under: uncultured bacterium
Lineage: Bacteria
Description: bacterial SSU rRNA
Rfam family: Bacterial small subunit ribosomal RNA
Source: RNAcentral